Pelodiscus sinensis (Chinese soft-shelled turtle) is the source of this 3160-nucleotide non-coding RNA. NCBI's taxonomy places the organism in Eukaryota, Metazoa, Chordata, Testudines, Trionychidae. The record is from RefSeq and is a predicted model, not a curated record.
GUCUCGUUCUGUUUGAUCUGCAAGUGUUGUGGAAAUGACACCCGGUCUGAUACUUACACACGGAGCCACCAACGUGACAAAGCACUGCAAUCUGGAUUAGCCUCCGCGUGUGAAUGGCCGGAUCCAGGCCGAAUGAAGGCAGCAGGGCGCAGUCGGCUCGCAGAGGUGUAAACUCCGUGGUGUUCUUCGGAGCCAGCUUGGAAGGAGUCAGGGUCAGGAACUGCUUCCAAAGGUUGGUUGGUUGCUGGGCCGGCUUACCCGCGGGGCUCCGGGUGUUUGCUCGCGGGAGGCUGGCUGGAGGUCGGGGUUCAGGGUUCCGACCCCUCUACACCCCAGGCUCCCGUGGGACAACGCCGGGAUCACACUAGAUGCCGGUUCCCUCUAGGCGGGGCCACCUUCCACCUCCCCUUCUUUGUUACUUUCCCAGGAACCGCUGCUUGCGGGAAAACGCAGCGCCCGGAGCCCAGGGGAAUCCAGCGCCCUCUCCGCAGAUCCCCAAGGCCAGAACUUCUCGGCCUUCUCCACGGAAACUCCGGGCCGGGGCCCAUUUGUAAACGCCAAUCAGUUUGCACAGGUAUGUAUUGUUCUGUAUUCAUCAGACACGGCUCUGGGAACCAAUAUAAAUAGAGCCCCCCUGAGGAGACUCUGCGGCCCUGUAAUCGCCACAUGCUUAUUCAAUAGACGUGGGGCGGAAAGAAGAGAGAGUCUUCUGCUAUUUAUUAAAAUAUCGCUGUCCAUUUUUCAAAUGCCACGGGCUGCAACGCACCCAGAGAGAAUUCUCCUUUACACAGCAUUCCUGAUUAGCAAAUAAACAGUCUCGAACGACAGACCCCAUUGUUUCGUUGGUAUUGCUGGUCUGAGAAACGUCCUCCGGAUUGUAUUAUGUCUGGCAGGCAUGGGGAGCCUUUAUUGGGUCCGGGCCGCUGACCCACAGAAAAAUCAGUCAGAGAAGAAGAAGAAGAGAAAAAACCCUCACGGACAUGGCCCCUGACUGAGAAGGAGAAAGACAUUCCCCUAGGGUGGCCCAGGCUAGCAGACUGUUUGCUCUAGCCCCCCAGUGGGCCGGGGAGCCCUGAGUCUGGGGGUCCCAUCCAGGCAAGCCGGGGGCUAUAUCCUGUCUGAAGUUCCCCACCCCUGCUGUAAGCGCCAGUGCUCUGGUGACUGUUAAAAACUUUUUUUUUUGGUCAUGACAAGCCUACAGGGUCAAGCCCUUUUUCCCCACGCCUGUCGCCCUUAUUCAUUCAUGAAGCCCCCAUUAACAUCACCCAGGCCACAUGUAUCUGUAACGCUAGCAGGGUUUGGUCCACCGUCUUGAAUGCACAAGUUCCUGUAUCUCGGGGAUGUUUCUGUACCAAUAACGCAGCUUCCCAAGGAGAGGGGCUCAGUUGGACAAGUUUUGCCUUGCAAAAUGCUCGCUCUAGCUAGCACUGGAUUUGUUCUGAGUUUAGGCCACCUCCCUUUUUUGGGUACAAGCUACAAUGUUACAUGCUUUCUUUAUGGUAGCGGUAGGCAGCUAACUGCACACACGACACUAUUUUCACUGGCCUAACAGAGCCACGUUCCUUUUCCUUUCGAGAUUGUAGCGAGACAUCGUAGAAGGGUGUGGUGUCUUUUGCUGGUUAUGGGAUCCCCUAUUCUUUUAGGAGUAUAUAGGGCUCGUUCUCUGAGCAAGAUCAACGCCCCUCUCUUUAAUUAGAAUAGUGUCGCUUGAAGUGCGCAGUUUCACAAGUGUCUGCAUUCUCACCGUGCAUUUUUAAAGUUUUGGGAAUGGCCGCCGCACGCCAAAGCUGUAUUUUAUUGAUGUUUGUUUUGCGUUAUUCGCCCGGAAAAUGCCACGUGAAAUAUGUAAAAUAAUGGCGAUGCAAUAAUAAAAUAGUCCCCUAACACGUGCUCACGCAUCCUACCGAACCACGUACAAAAACUCAAGCUGUUAAUGAUUGCUGGACGCUCGCCGCCCUGAAUUAAAUAUGAUUCAUUAGAAUUUAAUAACAGGUGCAAAGUAAUCUCUUUGCCAGGAGCGCUAGCGUGCACUGAACUAGGAAACUCAUGUUGGCUUACUAAAGGCUCCAGCUUGCUCGACUGUUUGUAAACCCAGUUGCGCGUUGGAUAGCGGUUUUGUCCCGGGGUGGGAGGAAGCGCUCUGUCUCUCUAGCUCUCUCUUCUGGAAUUUUUUAAAGCACUUUGCUUCAUUAAUUUGUUCCCGCCCAUGCAUAGGUGGAAAGCUGCUUCACUAGUAUUUACUUUGGAAAAUAGCGAUCUGAUCCACUGCAAACGGAGAAAGACUCCAGCGCUAAAGUUAAUCCAGAACAUUUCCAACGUGGAAUGCACUAGUUUAUUUCCCUCCGGUUCUGGCAAUAAAGUAAACAAACAAGCUGGAACCCUCAAGAAGCAAAAUGCUCUGAGCUAAAAAUAUAAAUUGUUUUUUAAAAUCCCGUCCCACUGCAUCCGCAUUCCAGCUGGCGGGCUGGACUUGAGAUAGAGUUUGGAAAGCACGCCGAUGAUUGCACCCAACUCGAGAGCAGGAUGGCUCCUAGCCGUCUGAUCUGACGUCAACAUGUCUUUAGGCUCUUGCUGGAAGAUAGAGGGAGCAGAAAUGGGGGAGGGAGAGCUAUAAUCACUCCCAGAUGUCUCUAAUAGCCGAUAUAAAGACGUAUAUCGUGCCUAAGAAUAAAUUUGUAAUCAGUGCUCUACAAUCUGAUCAUCAAAGCAACAAAAUUUCCUGGAGAAAAAACGGGGGAAAAACAUCAGACUGCAUUGGGGGAUGCCAGGGGAAGGGCCACAGCGACUUCCCAGAAAGCAACAGGCCUUUCAAAUCCGAAUGCUUUGUAGAAUUUAUGUGAAUAUGUAAUGCAGAUAACAACUAUGCUUUAAUCUCGAUUAUACCGUGCAAACUGGAACAGCUGAACAGUAAUUGGCCAAUUAGAAAUGGAAAAAGAUUGGAGCUGGUUUUGAAGGGGAAUGUAUUUCAUAGCCAGCAAAAAAUGAUAAGCCCUAGUUAUUACAGAGUGGAUUAUAGUUGAAGAAAUGUGGGAUUCGUUUCCUUUCCAUCACUUAAUGAAGGGAUUUUUUUCCGGGGGUAGGGGUGAGGGAGGAAGGAUUUAAAAUAUGUUUCCAGGCGCAAAAGAUAACAUAUUGUGUCAUUAAAAUGAUGCAGCGUCAU